GACGAACGCUGGCGGCGUGCUUAACACAUGCAAGUCGAACGCUGAAGCUCAGCUUUUGUUGGGUGGAUGAGUGGCGAACGGGUGAGUAACACGUGAGUAACCUGCCUCCUUCUUUGGGAUAACGCCCGGAAACGGGUGCUAAUACUGGAUAUUCACUGGUCUUCGCAUGGGGGUUGGUGGAAAGGGUUUUUCUGGUGGGGGAUGGGCUCGCAGCCUAUCAGCUUGUUGGUGGGGUGAUGGCCUACCAAGGCUUUGACGGGUAGCCGGCCUGAGAGGGUGACCGGUCACAUUGGGACUGAGAUACGGCCCAGACUCCUACGGGAGGCAGCAGUGGGGAAUAUUGCACAAUGGGCGCAAGCCUGAUGCAGCGACGCCGCGUGAGGGAUGGAGGCCUUCGGGUUGUGAACCUCUUUCGCUCAUGGUCAAGCCGCAACAAUGGUUGUGGUGAGGGUAGUGGGUAAAGAAGCGCCGGCUAACUACGUG
Molecule: ribosomal RNA, 483 nt
Filed under: uncultured bacterium
Lineage: Bacteria
Description: partial 16S ribosomal RNA
Rfam family: Bacterial small subunit ribosomal RNA
Source: RNAcentral